Molecule: transfer RNA, 71 nt
Filed under: Fibrobacter sp. UWH4
Lineage: Bacteria; Pseudomonadati; Fibrobacterota; Fibrobacteria; Fibrobacterales; Fibrobacteraceae
Description: tRNA_Thr_AGT
Rfam family: tRNA
About the family: Transfer RNA (tRNA) molecules are approximately 80 nucleotides in length. Their secondary structure includes four short double-helical elements and three loops (D, anti-codon, and T loops).
Source: RNAcentral
UGGUUUUUAGCUCAACGGUAGAGCAGCGACGUAGUAAGCCGCAGAUUCGGGUUCGACUCCCGAAAAACCGC